GGCGCUGUAUGUGAUUUACCGUCGGAGGAAGUCCGUUCACGGCAAAAACCGCACUGCAGCAAUGCAGUACAGCAAACUGUAGGCAACCGAACAGAAAUGAUACCCGAGCCGCAAGCUAAAUAUGAGGCGAGGCCGAUUUUUGCGGAUAAGGGAUGAAACAGCGGACCUGCGGCGUGCAAACCCUAUUUGGGCGCUCAGUCGAAUAUUACAACGCAUUACAGUGAUACCACUUUAAAUGGUGGAGAUGCGACAGAAAACGGGCUAUUCAGCGCC
Molecule: RNase P RNA, 273 nt
Filed under: Candidatus Acidifodinimicrobium mancum
Lineage: Archaea; Nanobdellati; Candidatus Parvarchaeota; Candidatus Acidifodinimicrobiaceae
Description: RNase P RNA component
Rfam family: Archaeal RNase P
About the family: Ribonuclease P (RNase P) is a ubiquitous endoribonuclease, found in archaea, bacteria and eukarya as well as chloroplasts and mitochondria. Its best characterised activity is the generation of mature 5'-ends of tRNAs by cleaving the 5'-leader elements of precursor-tRNAs. Cellular RNase Ps are ribonucleoproteins.
Source: RNAcentral